Molecule: long non-coding RNA, 427 nt
Filed under: Brassica rapa (field mustard)
Lineage: Eukaryota; Viridiplantae; Streptophyta; Magnoliopsida; Brassicales; Brassicaceae
Description: long non-coding RNA (BRAP_LNC008584)
Source: RNAcentral
CUUCGUCGUUCCAAUCAAACCAGGAUGAAUCACUUUGUAAGAAGCUUGAUUUGGAUACAUAAAAUGGUGGAGAAACACCAGGAAGUUGAAUAAAUCUCAUAGGAGUUGGGAUGAAGAAGUUAUCCCACUUUCAAAUCAGGUGAUUCCAGUUUCCCAGUUUGGGAAUAGGACAGCUUCUUCGUCGUUCCAAUCAAACAAGGAUGAAUCACUUUGUAAGAAGCUUGAUUUGGAUACAUAAAGUGUUGGGGAAUCACCAGGAAGUUGUGUUUCAAAAAAGAAAAAAAAAAAUCACCAGGAAGUUGAAUAAAUCUCAUAGGAGUUCGGAUUAAGAAGUUAUCCCACUUUCAAAUCAGGUGAUUCCAGUUUCCCAGUUUGGGAAUAGCACAGCUUCUUCGUCGUUCCAAUCAAACCAGGAUGAAUCACUUUG